AGUGAACGCUGGCGGUAGGCCUAACACAUGCAAGUCGAACGGCAGCACAGUAAGAGCUUGCUCUUACGGGUGGCGAGUGGCGGACGGGUGAGGAAUACAUCGGAAUCUACUUUUUCGUGGGGGAUAACGUAGGGAAACUUACGCUAAUACCGCAUACGACCUACGGGUGAAAGCAGGGGAUCUUUGGACCUUGCGCGAUUGAAUGAGCCGAUGUCGGAUUAGCUAGUUGGCGGGGUAAAGGCCCACCUAAGCGACGAUCCGUAGCUGGUCUGAGAGGAUGAUCAGCCACACUGGAACUGAGACACGGUCCAGACUCCUACAGGAGGCAGCAGUGGGGAAUAUUGGACAAUGGGGGCAAGCCUGAUCCAGCCAUACCGCGUGGGUGAAGAAGGCCUUCGGGUUGUAAAGCCCUGUUGUUGGGAAAGAAAAGCAGCAGGUUUAUACCCCGCUGUUCUGACGGUACCCAAAGAAUAAGCACCGGCUAACUUCGUG
This 492-nucleotide ribosomal RNA is filed under the name uncultured bacterium. Its description in RNAcentral is "partial 16S ribosomal RNA". It matches the Rfam family "Bacterial small subunit ribosomal RNA", at positions 29 to 507 of the family's 1533-position model. The record is from RNAcentral.